Molecule: long non-coding RNA, 8167 nt
Filed under: Triticum aestivum (bread wheat)
Lineage: Eukaryota; Viridiplantae; Streptophyta; Magnoliopsida; Poales; Poaceae
Description: long non-coding RNA (TAES_LNC004463)
Source: RNAcentral
GCUUUGUGGUCUGGAAACUGAAGAAGAUGACCUCUUCUUUAUUUCCAGAGUGGCUUGCCAUCCUCAAAUCCUUCCCUAGAUCAUAUCAUUUCCAUCCUAGCCCAAUCCCAAUAUUCUUUUUAUUGGGAAUAUUCCUUUUCUAUUAAAGGAAUCAUCCUUUUUGCCCUAGGUUGUGAAGCAACCUAUAUUUCCAUCACUCCUAAAAUUCCCAAAUAAUUCUCAUAAAUUGGUUGUGUCAUAUCUUCCUCAAAUAUGGCAAAACAUUUCAUUUGCCAUGUUUAUCAUCAUGCUCAAAUAAUUCAUUUCCUAUUCUGCCCUAAAUGGCACAUUGUGAAGCAAGUGAUAUUUGCCUUUGCCCAAUUGACGUCAAACUCCUUGGACAGCUUUUCCUGUCCAUAUCACUGCCACAUGCCAAAACGCAACUUCAUUUGCCUAGUAGUCACUUAAUUAUGAUUUUCCAAAGUUUCUGUCCAGAAAGAAACUUUGUGAAGGAGGUACAAGCUAGACAUAUCCAAAUGAGUUGCACUUUUGCAUGGUCCUUAAUAUCAUCAAAUCAUAUACCUCCACCAAAGUUGAGCUCAUUUAAUGCCUCCAUGUGAGCACAACUUCAAAUCUUUGAUUCUGUCCAAAAUUUUAGUUUGUGAAGCAAGUAUAUUUUAUCUUGCUUCAUUAUGGCUGUAUGUUUUUCUAGGCCUUCUCCUAUCCAUAUAAAAUACCUCCACCAAGUUGUGGCUCAAUCCAUUUAGCCAUUUUACCUCUAGAAUUUCUGCAAGUUUCUGUCCAGAGAGGACCACUAUGAAGGAAGUAUCACUUUGCCUUUUCCAAAUGGUAUGAAAUUUAUAUGGAAUUCUAAUAUGCCCAAAUCAUCUAGCGUUGCCCAUUUUCAGCUCAAGUGGCUUCAUAAUUUGAGUGCUUUUUCCUGAUCAAGUUUUUGGACCAGAUUAUGUAGUUGCAAAGCAACUAUAUUAAUUCUUGGUCCAAAUCACCUCCAAAUCUCCAGGAUCAUAGUCCUUCCAUAGUAAAACACCCCAGACAACCCCAUUUGGCCCAAUCAAAAUGCUGUUGAUCAACAGUGCUCAUCCAAAACUGAUACAACAAACUUCAGGCGAUCACUCACAUGUCUCCUUUGGACUUCUGCGUGAUCUAUCACCUCCCUCGGCCUCUAGUAUGAAAGGACUAAACCCUAGACAACUUUUCCUGCCUCUUGCAUCCCCUCCUUGCCGGUCACGGUGGUGACCGCGUCAUUUGCACGCGCUCUGGCAGCAAUGGACGCGAGCUGAGCGUCGUUUGCUUCGGGCCCCUCCUCGGUUCGUCGUGCUCGCGCGCCUCGUCAUGUCCAACAGCUAACCCGCAUUGUCGUCGUCCCCCUGGAGCCGUCUACCCUUCCCGAAGCCUCCUCGCUGGCGCUCGUCGCCGUUUGCCCAUGUGCGAACUGUAGCCGACCGGCUGUGUUCACGCCGCGGCAGCUUCCCUCUCUUGUCCCCGAGCUCCGCUCGUCUCCAUGACCUCUGGCGCUUGUCCGUUCCCCCCCGUCGUCUUCCCCGAGCUCAUGCGCGAGCACACGCGUCCGCAGCGCCGUCCACGCGUCCGCGGCGACGCGAGCUCGGCCAUGACCUCGCACGGCUAUAUAAGCCCACCCCAAGGUGCCCCGACCUCACCAUCGGCCUCACCUCACUCCCAGACCCCCCGCCCUAGCUAGUCUCCCGAGCCCCGGAGCCCCUCCUCGCCGCAGUAGGCCGCCAUGGCCGCCACACGGCCUCGGCUAAAUUCCGCCAAGUCGAUCUCCCUCUCCUCCUUCUACAACCACCAGCGCUCCACCUAGUCCUCGAAGAUCCUCCCCAUCUCCUCCGUUAGUCGCCGGACUCGCCGUAGCCCCAACCCCAUCCACGCCCGAAGCUCUCGUCCACUGGCGUCGAAACCUCCGUCGACUCGGUCCACUCCGGCGACCGUGGAUGGGACCACUCGAUGUGUCACUCGACGCUGAGCAGUUUCGUAGGCGGAGCAUCGCCGGAGAUGCCCCGUAGCUCCGGCAGGCCUCGUCGUGGCUGGCUCUGCCGCGGCCAGGCGCGGGCGAGAGGAGGGAGAUGACGCUGCCGACACCAGCUCACCAGUGGGCCCCGGCGACCCCACCCGUCAGCCGCACAGGGGGUUGACCCGGCGAAGCUGACGUGGAUAAGUGGACGCGGGAAUUGCCCGUAUGCGCUUUCCCCUUACGAAAGCAUACUCUACUCUUCUUCGGGCCAAAAUGCGUUUUCCAUUCUAGAAAACGUAUUUUCUGAGAAGGCGCUUUCGGUUUUUCCGGUUGAGGGCUUGUUUGUGAUGAUUUCAUUACAGAUAGGUCCCUGGCAGAAAAACUCUUAUAACUUCUUGCCCGUAACUCCGAUUGAGGUGAAUCCAAAGCCCACUUCUUCGUCUCGUGGAGCCCGAACUUUUGGUAUCAUUUUCACUAUGGUUUGACAUACUGGAAAUGACCAUUUUGCUCCUGCCCCUAAUCAGCCCCCUCCGAGAGCGAACCCUUUCCGGCGAUUCUUUCCGCGGCUUCACCGCACUUCCCCCCGGAGCCUUCUCCAUGCCCAGGCAAGCCACAACCACCAUUUGCAUGAUAGCCAUGCAGAAGCAUUGGAUUUCAACAAGAAUCUUAAAUAACUGUUUGUUUGCUUUGCUGCUAUUGUCGGUAUUUCGUUUAUGCUUAUGGAUCGGUGUUUACCAUCAUGCUUUGUUUUCCUUGCACUCUGUUAUUAUGUUCUUCAUGCUAGUACUGGCCAUGCUUAGUAAUAAUACAUUUGGUGAUGGUCUUCGGUGCAUGAUUAUCGUUUGUUCCGAGUACCGUUGUUAUGUAUGUUAUUUUGCACCGAGUUGGUUAAAUAUUUGCAUGGUAGUUUUAUCGUUUGCAUGAUAUUUAUUAUUGAUGCUAGUGUUCAUGUCAUGCUAUGAGUAGUGUUCUAGUUGUGAUAUUCAUGCUCGUUAGUAUGCCAUGCUCAUUUGGUUAAAUGAUUAAAUGUCGUUAUUAUGCUUGCGGAUUAUGUUGCACCCCCAUGCUCAUGUUGAUAUCAUGUUCAUGCAUUGUAGUUGCAUCAUGUUAUUUUUAUCAUGGCUCAGUAUAUUGCAUUCAAGUUUAAUCGGAUUAUAUUGAACUUGAACAACUGUUGGCUGAGUCAUGGUGCCACCAGAUCGAGCUGACCAGUGCAACCACAUUUGCCUUGUGUGUGGCAAAGGCCCUAACGGUGCCUCCAACGUAGGGAAGGUUAUGCGCGAGCGCUACGUUGGCCAGGUAGGACGGCAUAAGCCUUGUGAGCCCGAGUUGUUUGCGCGCUUUUUCCCCGUUUGGGACCUUUUUUGCCAUGACGGUGGCCGUAAGACCUUUGGUAGGCAUGGGCCACCCAGGACUGAACCCAAAAGGGGUGUUGGUUGGAGUGGCCGGGAGAGUGCCAUGGCAAUAGAUCGGAUUUACUAGAACGUCGUUGGUCCACCCGAAUGGGAGAGCGAGGCCAUGGGUUUCGUGGUGUGGGUACAGUGCGCUACCUCUGCAGAGUGUGUGUUUGUGUUAAAUCUAUCGAUAGCCGCGCCCGCGGAUAUGGGCCCAGUUCGUGUCGGUCACACUAUGGGUCAACAGUAAUAAUAAUGAUGUUCUUAAUAACAACCCCGGUUCGAUGAUGAAAGAAGUUGGUUGAUAUUUAUGUGAUCGUGAGAGGAUCAUUGUGGUAUCAUGAAUACCAACUUGUUGGAUAUUUGUGGUGUUAUGCGAGAGUCAAGGGUAAAAGUCAAGCUCCUUGUGAUCAUAAAUGAUUGCUACGGUAUUGUUAAUACCAAGCUUGAUUGGAUCCUGAGAUGAUCGUGUGAUAUCCGUGAUGGUAAGUGAUACAGGUGAUGGUUACAAGGUAACUAGAGCAAAGUAAGUUGGUGCAUGAUAGUUGCAUCAUGUUGCAUGCUAGGCUCAUCUUGUUCAUAUGUUCAUGCCAUGCUCGUAUUGUUCUAGCUGUAUCAUCUUGUUCAUGCUAUGAUUGAUCUGAUAGUAUCAUGUUAAUCCUUGUUAACCUUUAAUUGCCAUGUUGUUGUUUGUCUUGAUUGGUUUGGUUGCUGUGAGCUUGCAAGUACAUUCAAUGUACUGACCUGGCGUGUCAUGCCAGCUUGCAGGUCAUGCCGGAUAUGAUUCCUUGUUUGCCGUGGAUUCCUUGUUUGCGAGCUAGGAUAAGCAUUCCAGCCAGAGUCCCUGUGGAGUGGAGUUCACCACCGUCGUCGCUUUUCCGCUACCAGUAGUCCGCUGCAUCGUGUUGUUCUACUGCUUGCAUGGAGCAACCGUGGCAGAUGUAGUGUCGACGUGCCGAUGUAAUCCCCUUGUACCCAUAUAGAUUGCAAUAAAGAGCUGAUUUGUUCUAUGCUAAGCAGUGCCGUAUUCCAGAAGACUUCUCCUCGAUCUCUGGGCUAGAAUACGGGGCGUUCCGGUUUCUCUGAGCCGGGGUGCCACAGGCUUGGUAUCAGAGUAGGUCUGGCUGUAGGAUUCCCUAGCCCGCGCGAAUGUUAGAAUGCGGUAGUAUAGAGUCUGGGUGGUUUGUUGCACUUGAUUGCUGUAUUCGUUUGUUGCAUAGCAUGCAUAUAGAUUAUUAUCUUGUCGCUAACGGUUAAUCUUGUGAGUGUAGGUGGUAUCGGUUUCGAUCCACUACCUGCACCCUCCUUCUUAGCAUGCCUGCUCUUCGGUGUUCGGCGUUAUCUCUGUCCCAGCAGAGUGAUGCCCUGGUGCCAAAUGUUCCAGACACCAUUUGCAAGAGUUAUGCUCAGGUAUCGCGUCGAUAUCUUUCCGCCACCCACCCAUAUUAUUUUGGUGAUAGACUCGUCUCUAUCCCCAAUCGUGCCAUCCAUAUCGUCCCUUUGGCAACCCUUAACGAUCUUUGUUAUCAGAAAAGGGCAAUGCUAGCAAAGCCCCACUUUCCACCGCUAUAAUGCCAUGUCAUCCCAUUCUUUGGACGUGUACGAUUCCCCUUCGUACGCUUGAUGAUGACGUGGUCGUGACCUUGUGUCUCGCUACUUGAUCACCAAGUCCGUCCUCGCCCCGUAUCCAUCCGAUUGCGACCGGUGUUCAGACAACGCUUGGUGUAGCCUUGGUUACACCAACUCCUUCCACACGUGAAUUCACUUUCGUGCACACCGCCACAGCAUAUUAGAUCGCAAUACCGGAGUUUUUGUGACACUUGUGUGCUUAGGUGUGCAUGCAUAUUAUUGUGUGAGUAGGAGUAAUAUGUGAUGUUGCUUUAUUAUUUAUAUUAUUUGUAUGCUUGUGUGUUUGUUUUGUUGUUUUCGUCGUUUCUUCUGCUUCUUUCUUUGGGCCUUCGGUGUGGCAUUAUUUUCCCCUUAUUAAAGUUGCUCAUCAACCGACACCGGACCUGAAGAAUCAGGAAGGAAUUCAAAUACUUGGAAGCUCAGAUAAAUGGAAUGAAGUUAUCAGCAGACUGCAAUGAAAUUGGAAUACCUUGUCUGAAUGCGAAAGAAAUCCUGGAUGGACUGACACUAUCAAGUUUGCAUCAGUAUGGAAUUCUCAGCCGACUGCAUUGAGAUCUGGGGAUAUCUGAUCGUGAUACAGAUAAUCAAGUUUGCCUCAGUGUGCACUCUUCAUGGCAGUAAUGAUCAGAUCAGCAAGAAGAUAAGCUAUGUGCAAGACCAACAAUGCAAUUUCAGUCAAAGGUAUGGUUCAGAUACAAGGUUUGAUUCUUCAUGGAGGAUGAUUUUGACACAUGAUAUGCCUGGAAAAAGCAAGGAUGUGCCACAUACUCAGAAAGGAGGAUGGUCCAGCAAUUCCUGUUUCAGCACGAAGCCCAGUCUUCCUCAGCAAGAUACUCUCGAUGGUUUUCAGCCUAAGUCAUCCAAUCGUCCUCAGUACGACACUGGUGCAAGAUAGUACAAUGUGAAUUGACAGCAGAUGGCAGAAUCAGAUCCGCAACAGUUGGUCAGAAGCAAGAAUCAGUCAGAACACAAGUCUGCCUCGGGAAUCAGAUUCUCACAUAUAUGUGAAGGAUGCCAGAUAUACACCUCAAUGUGACAAAGGACUAUGAGGAUUGACGACAACUCUGAGCUCUGUACAAGUACCAGUGAACCUGGAAGAUGAUCUUGAUGAGCCCUUGUCUGCUUUUCUUCAGUGCCGGCACCACGCCUGUGAUCUGAGCUGUUUUUAGCUAUCCGGGGUGGAUACCGAUUUUUAUUUCUCUCUUCAACGACUGUCAUGAGUUCUGAGCUGCUUUUCGGCCGUCUCAUACAGCUGUUGAGUUUCUUUUUGUGACAGUAGCCCUAUAGCUGCUUUUGGCUAUUUUAGGGAGCUGCCACUUUCUUCUUAUCAACCCGGUGUCAUGUUCUGAGCUGCUUUUCAGCCGUCCUAAGCCGUGGUUGAGUUACUUCAGUAAUGUCCCAGAUCUGAGUUGUAAAGACCGUUCUGGUGGCUACUAAUUUAUUUGCUGAUUUCUUGCAAGGGUUCGAAUGAUCAUUUUCCUACGGUCAGAACUUGAGAAGUGUUGAACCUGCCAUUUAAUGGAUUACCAUGUCAGAAGAUGUGGAUAAGAGUUCAGCUGUCAGAAUAUUGCACCCAACAGAACCUAUGGUCACACGAAGAAGCAAUAUGACCCCGCUCCUUCACCCAAGGAUCCAGGCAAGGAAAACAGUAAUGAAGGAGCCAGACUGAUAAUUGUUGCAUAAUUCACAUGGUGCAGAUACCCCGGACAGUCUGAGUCAGUAUGGAUCACCAUGGAUAUUCACCAAAAGGUUCUGCACGGUUUUGGAUGGUGAAUAACAGUGGGAGCAUGUGCCCUCCCUUAUGUGAAGCCUCAACGGAUAGCCUGUCAUGGACAAAAUUCUUUCACGAGAUUCACAGUCAGUCAAGUCUGCGGAUACUAUCAUAUAAGGCCAUACCCCUUAUGCUGGCAACGAUAGGCGACAAUCAAAUAUUUGGUAUGAAGCUGAGAUUCAAGACAGUGGAGCCAGUCAGGAUGGGUCAGAACUUCCUGCGAUAAGUCAGAAUCUGUCAGAAAAACGGAUAUGCCGCAACUCACUGUCUGGAACCUAAAGGACCUAAAUUUAAUGGAGUAACCCAAUGCAAGGAGUCAGCGCUUGGGUGUUCAUCAGGACAAAUCGGAUCACCAAUUCACGGACAGUUGUCAGUACAGACACAACCAUUGGAAGUCACUCUUGGAUUUGUGAGACACGCAGAUAUUUCAGUCAUGGUAAUCUCAGCUAAGUCAGCAGAUAUGAACAUAAUUGGAGCCAGUAUAAGCAGAACACGUGAGUUAAGAUCUGUCAGGAUAUGGAUACAGUGAAGGAAGCAACCCCAGAUCCAGUCAGAUAAGUCAGAUGAAGAAUUCAAUGGGAACCAUCAAUAAAGGAAAAAGGAUACCCGAGUUGGAAACGGUUUCCUUAAGUUAGUAUAUUCAUACUUGUUUCCUGAGCAACCAAAUAUCGAAGACGAGAUUUCUUUAAGGGGGGAAGGUUUGUCACAGCCUGAUUUUUGGCCCUUUCUUUUUCUUUUGUUUUUCUGAGGUUUUUGCUUGAGUUUUCUUUUUCCGUGGCUUUGUGGUCUGGAAACUGAAGAAGAUGACCUCUUCUUUAUUUAAAGAGUGGCUUGUCAUUCUCAAAUCCUUCCCUAGAUCAUAUCAUUUCCAUCCUAGCCCAAUCCCAAUAUUCUUUUUAUUGGGAAUAUUCCUUUUCUAUUAAAGGAAUCAUCCUUUUUGCCCUAGGUUGUGAAGCAACCUAUAUUUCCAUCACUUCUAAAAUUCCCAAAAAAUUCUCAUAAAUUUUUUGGGUCAUAUCUUCUUCAAAUAUGGCAAAACAUUUCAUUUGUCAUGUUUAUCAUCAUUCUCAAAUAAUUCAUUUCCUAUUAUGCCCUAAAUGGCACAUUGUGAAGCAAGUGCUAUUUUCCUUUGCCCAAUUGACCUCAAACUCCUUGGACACCUUUUCCUGUCCAUAUCAUUGCCACAUGACAAAAUGCAACCUCAUUUGCCUAGUAUUAAUUUAAUAAUGAUUUUCCAAAGUUUCUGUCUAGAAAGAAACUUUGUGAAGGAGGUACAAGCUAGACAUAUCCAAAUGAAUUGCACUUUUGCAUGGUCCUUAAUAUCAUCACAUCAUAGCCCUCCACCAAAGUUGAGCUCAUUUAAUGCCUCCAUGUGAGCACAGCUUCAAAUCUUUGAUUCUG